AUUGAACGCUGGCGGCAGGCCUAACACAUGCAAGUCGAGCGGAUGAAGGGAGCUUGCUCCUGGAUUCAGCGGCGGACGGGUGAGUAAUGCCUAGGAAUCUGCCUGGUAGUGGGGGAUAACGUCCGGAAACGGGCGCUAAUACCGCCUACGUCCUGAGGGGGAAAGUGGGGGAUCUUCGGACCUCACGCUCUCAGAUGAGCCUAGGUCGGAUUAGCUAGUUGGUGGGGUAAGGGCCUACCAAGGCGACGAUCCGUAACUGGUCUGAGAGGAUGAUCAGUCACACUGGAACUGAGACGCGGUCCAUGCUCCUGCGGGAGGCAGCAGUGGGGUAUAUUGGGCAGUGGGCGAAAACCUGAUCCAGCCAUGCCGCGUGUGUGAAGAAGGUCUUCGGAUUGUAAAGCACUUUAAGUUGGGGUGAAGGGCAGUAAGUUAAUACCUUGCUGUUUUGACGUUACCAACAGAAUAAGCACCGGCUAACUACGUG
RNAcentral lists this ribosomal RNA (484 nucleotides) under uncultured bacterium. RNAcentral describes it as "partial 16S ribosomal RNA". It matches the Rfam family "Bacterial small subunit ribosomal RNA", at positions 30 to 507 of the family's 1533-position model. The record is from RNAcentral.